GGAAAGGCUAUGAAGAGGGAAGUAUUCUAUCGGAAAUUUACAGAGAGCUCCGUAUGGUGGGAAGGAGCAAUGGAAGAAAGAUGAAACAAGCCUCGGAGCUGCAUACGGAUCGGUUUAUCUAAACCGUGAUGCUAUGACGUGGGUUCCCGUUACAGGACUAGAGUAUGAUCGUACUUAAAGAGGUUAAUAUGGUGACAUAUUAAUAAAAAUAGGGUGGUACCGCGAUAGAUUCGCCCCUGUA
This 241-nucleotide non-coding RNA is filed under the name Anaerocolumna jejuensis. Its description in RNAcentral is "T-box sequence". It matches the Rfam family "T-box leader". From Rfam's summary of the family: Uncharged tRNA acts as the effector for transcription antitermination of genes in the T-box leader family. T-boxes are found upstream of many aminoacyl-tRNA synthetase genes and some amino acid biosynthetic genes usually in Gram-positive bacteria. The anticodon of a specific tRNA base pairs to a specifier sequence within the T-box motif, and the NCCA acceptor tail of the tRNA base pairs to a conserved bulge in the T-box antiterminator hairpin. Lineage: Bacteria; Bacillati; Bacillota; Clostridia; Lachnospirales; Lachnospiraceae. The record is from RNAcentral.